UCGGGUCAAGGCAGACAUCCGGUUCACCCAAGGCAUUUCGCCCAAGCUCUGC
Molecule: non-coding RNA, 52 nt
Organism: Betaproteobacteria bacterium RIFCSPLOWO2_02_64_14
Lineage: Bacteria; Pseudomonadati; Pseudomonadota; Betaproteobacteria
Source: Rfam